RNAcentral lists this unclassified non-coding RNA (336 nucleotides) under soil metagenome. Its description in RNAcentral is "partial contains 5.8S ribosomal RNA, internal transcribed spacer 2, and large subunit ribosomal RNA". The stretch from base 1 to 120 matches the Rfam family "5.8S ribosomal RNA", at positions 35 to 154 of the family's 154-position model. The record is from RNAcentral.
GAUGAAGAACGCAGCGAAAUGCGAUAAGUAAUGUGAAUUGCAGAAUUCAGUGAAUCAUCGAAUCUUUGAACGCACAUUGCGCCCGCCAGUAUUCUGGCGGGCAUGCCUGUUCGAGCGUCAUUUCAACCAUCAAGCCCCCGGCUUGUGUUGGGGACCUGCGGCUGCCGCAGGCCCUGAAAACCAGUGGCGGGCUCGCUGUCACACCGAGCGUAGUAGAUUUUCAUCUCGCUCAGGGCGUGCUGCGGGUUCCGGCCGUAAAAAGCCUUAUUUACCCAAGGUUGACCUCGGAUCAGGUAGGAAGACCCGCUGAACUUAAGCAUACCAAUAAGCGGAGGA